Cuculus canorus (common cuckoo) is the source of this 9004-nucleotide long non-coding RNA. RefSeq lists it as uncharacterized. Lineage: Eukaryota; Metazoa; Chordata; Aves; Cuculiformes; Cuculidae. The record is from RefSeq and is a predicted model, not a curated record. The transcript has 3 exons.
UAAAAUGUACACCACUUUCUGUGUCAUGUUAUAUCAACUGAAACAUACUGUCUUUUUAUUCACAGCUGUCUUGCUUCUCUGUUCAGCCUUGAAUGUAUUUUACGUCCUUUCAGUUGAUAGCUUUGUGAAAGUUUUAAGUGGUUUUUUACACGGCUGCCAGCCCCCUUUUGAAGAAGUUUAGCUCCUCUUUGUUCAGUUUCCAGCUGCAAUGCCACCCGGGAAGUCCUUGUGUGUGGCCAGGCUACCGCUGCACUCAUCACACUUUCCAGAUCUCGGCACUCUUUGUGCCCUGGCCCGUGAUCUCUGUUUGUGGGCUUUAUCUGCUAUAAUCACCUUGCACAUUUAUGGCUCAGUAGAAUAAAACCUCUGGCAGCUUGUUUUCUUGAAGGAGCAUGCUCAGCCUGACAGAAUGUGAGUUCACUGAUCCACGCUUCUCUCAGUUUUCUGGAACACUACAGCACAGAGCCUUUCAUUAAAUCCUUUGCUUUUUCUUGUAAACGUAAAUGAAAAUUUAACCCAGUAUUCUUUCCAAGCCUCUGAUAACUGGAGGAAGGAUAACUUUGAGGAAAAUGAGCUUUUGGUAAUAGAAUUGCCAACGCGAGCACACGCUGUGUGACCAUCUCAACAUGAACCCACCUGAUCAACAAGCCUGGUGGUGCUCUGCACUCUGGUGCUGUGCAGGUGCAGGGUCCCAUGCCCUCCACAGAUGAUGGAUGAGUUACUCAAGUGGGGGCAGGAUUUUCCUGAGUAGUUCCUACUGAUUAAUUCUGCUCUCUCUAAAGACUUCAACAGCAAAAUUCCCUGUGAUUUCAGUGGUAAAUGCUUGUAAAAUCCCACCGUGCUCUAAGGCAGAGGGUCAUGUGGGAGAGAGCGUGGCAGCUAUUUUCUACAUGAAGAGGGAAAGGAAGAUAAAGGAAAAUUUUGGCUCUCAUUUUAAGAGAAAUUGACGUAGGCAACAUGAAUGUAGCAGGGUGUCCAUUGAUAGCGUAACUCAGAUCAAUAAGAAUAUAAGUGCAUGCACUGCACCAAGUCUUUGAAUUUUUUGUCUCACAUAAUUAAAUAUGCAUGCGCAAUUAAAGCAUAGAGUUAUGAAGCCUAGUCUGUGUUAAAGUGGGACUUGAUUCAACCUUGCAUCUUUAGUAGAAGUUGUGUACCAGGCUAUGUAGAAAACAAUUUAAAAGCUAGCCACCAUCUCAUAGCAGAGUGCAUUUGAGUAAAGGGAACAAAAUGCAUUUUCAGAUGCUUUUAAUUUCCCUAAAUACUCUCAUUGUCAGGCAGGAGGACUUUAUCUCACCUUUAGCUGAACCAGACUCUCUGGGAUCUUUUUAUAUGUGCGGCAAGAAAUCUGAGCUUAAAUACGUUUACUUUUGGAGGAGAUAAAUAUUUGCCCAGAAGUAAAUACCUUUCCUUUAAAUAUAAAUGCAGCCAGGGUGAACGGUUCAGAGGUGGAUGUAUAUAUUUUAAAUUACUGUAUCUGAUCAUAUGACACCCAGCCAUGGUGUCCCAGUUAUGUCCCAUAAAAGCAGACUUUGUGUCUUUAAUUUUUAAAGAUCUUUUAAAUAACCAGGUCUAAUGACGUUAAAGUUUUGCAUGAAAAAUAUAUAAUUUCAGCCUCCUUUUAAAAGCAGAGGUCUUUAGAAAUUUUUGCACCUGUAACUCGCAAUAACAGCUUAUUUGUACAGAAUUUAUUCAUUUUACAUCCUGCCUAGGAACACACAGUAACCAUAGGGUAUUUAAAAACAAAGUGGGAAUGGGAAGUUAGUUUCCUAAGUAUAUAUAUAAUAACUUGAUUCCCAAACUUGUUCUCUGUACUUAAAUACAAGAUAAGUGACUAAAUAUGGAAUCAGGAAUCUACGACAGACUUCUAAAUAUUACACAGGCUUAACCUUAUGAUUACAGAAUAGAUCAGUACAGUAAAAGUGGGAGUUCUGUCCCUUUUUUGUUAUGUUACCUUGACCUGGGAGUGCAGAUGCUAUGGCCUAAAAGAAAAAAAAAAGCCUGUUUUUUACAGCCAGAAAAAAACAAGAGUGAUCCAAUCUUUAUGUGUUCACCCUACAGCUCAUUCAGUGCUUCUUCAUGCAGAGCCUGGGGAAGACAUGGCUCCCGUCUCUGCUGUCCCCUCUGACAGCUGCUGGGACGUGAUUAGGAUGUUGCCUUCUGUUGGGGAGACGAAUGGGCAAUUCAAAGCACUGCCACUCAUUUCACAAGCUCAAGAUCUCAGCCAGCUGGUGUCCAGGGCAUGGAUUCGCACUGGUGCCUUACCAGUGCAUUUCUCCAUGCUCCAUUCGCAGCUUCCUGGCUCGCGCCUCCUCCCCUAAUUUCCUGCAAAGCAUCUGGCAGCAGCUUCUUACCACAUAUUGGAAGUGUACUCCCAUAGUCACACAUUCUUCCUUUUGUUUAGUCUGAAGUAUUUUUUGUGUGUAUUAAAAACUUCCUGAGCUGCCUUUAUGAAUCUGGAUAAAAUACAUGCUCAGUAAAUGCAAAAUGUCAGCGAAUGGUAAAACAGUGUUUAUAACUAGGCUACUGACCAAUCGUUAAAGAGCAAAACAUUGAGUUAUAGAGCUGUUGUAGCUUUACAAAGGGUACAGUGUCUGAACAAAGAAAUCAAUAUGUCACAAUUUUUAAUUACUUGGCACCUAUUUAUUUCCAGAGAUGGUCUUGUUUCAGGUCUUGACGUGCAUCACUGGUCAAACACAAAAUGGACCCAAGGAUGACCACAGGUUCCUGUUUCACAGGGCUCAGUACGCUACAUGCAAAUAUCCCAUGCAUCAGCUCUUUCAGAUACCUGCCACAAUGUGUCCGUUAGAAGCUAAAGUGCCACAGAACUAAAAACAUGCAAUUCACUGCAGACAAUUUGGUUCACCAGGGCUGAGAAAGGGAACGAGUUCCAACUCCUCUGAUGUAGACUGAAUUUGUGGUCUCAAUCUCAUCCCUGGUGAAAAGAUAUUUAUUUGUCUGUCUGUCUAUCUAUCUAUCUAUUUGUGUUUUUUAAAAAACUAUUACUGAAAAGUGAGUCACACAAGAAGGUAAUAAGUGGUGCAGAGGCUGAAGCAGCAUCUCUCCCCAAGGGAGAUCCGCGCAGAGUGUUUUGGGGCAGGUCAGAGAGGUGCUGCUGUGUUGCCUUGCUGCUGGCUGCAUCACCCUCUGGUCAGCUGUCAGCAGGGUUGAUUCAGUUUUUCCUGACCAUACCCGACAGUUAUCGAUACAAUCACAUAUUGCUUACUUGUUAAGUACUCAGUUUGCUCAUAAGCACAGCCAAGCUGCGCCUGAGUACAUCUGGAAAGCCUGAAUACAUUUUCUCCAGCUGCAGGUUUCAAGUGAUGAUUCCUUGCUUUAGAGUCGCCUUUUACACACACUCAGCUAUUUGGUCAAAUGCGUACUCAUGCAAUAUGCAAACCUGAAAUUAAAGGCAAAGGAUUUAAAAUGCGAGUAUUUAAAAUGCAUGGUUCCUCAGCAUAUGAUAAUGGUACUUUAAGCAUCAGCAUUCCUUCUGCUGAAAAUGCCUUCAUCUUCCCUCCUCUCUGCCCCUGGGGCUGCACACUCCCUCAUGUCCCAGUGCUCUGUCCCCCACAGUGAGCCCCUGGGCUCCCCACGCAUCCUCUCACUGCGCCAGGGCCUGCAUCCUCCCUCCCUCUCUCCUGCUCUCCCCCUUGAGUCCUCCCAAACACUGAUACAUUUUUAGAUUCCUUCAGAUCUGAUGGUGAUCCAAGACUGUUGGACAAAGAAGACCUGGAAAUGCUGCAUGUAAACCACACAUUUAUAAGCUCAGUCUGUUUAACCAGACUUGUUAAUUUUGCGAUAUUUGUAACAGCGCCUCACGCAGUGGGUCGCUAAAUAAGUACCAUGGGUAUUACCACCCUCAAGGUUAAAACUAAGGCUGAUCAAUCUGCAAGCAGAAAAUGAGCAUGUGCCACCGAAAGUCUCACCUGGGAGUGAGGAACUGAACGCCUGAUAUGAAAAUAAUCCUAAAUAUUUAUUGACUCCUUCUGUUCAGAUGACAGUUUUCCUAAGCUACAUUUGUUUUUCCCCUCUGAUAGACCUUAAUUCUCUCCUGCUAGGCCACUGAAAGCACUGGGUAAUAAUAAACCAAAAUGUGCUUUCUCUGGAAGCACAGUAAUUGAGAGGGAGACAAAUACAUAAGUGGCUAUCUGAGGACCAUAAAAGAGGUUCUGGCUUACCCAGCACAUAGAUUUUGCGAGAAUGGCAGUAUAUUUGCAGAGCCUAAUGAAAGUGAGCCAGGAGUGCAAUAUGAUCAGCAAGACCCAUCACCGAGGCACAGGGUAUCAGCGUAUUUACUGAAGUGGAGAAGCUAACAUUUAAAAGAAUUGUUAUUUUUAAUUAAUGCGUGAAUCACAGGUAAGAUUAUAUUUACAUAUCGAAGGAUCUCACUGUAGUGAUGGAGUACUGUACCUAACCCUGCAUGUUUAGAGGACAGUGAGACAGAGACCUGAGCCCAAGUGACCAUCUGCUGGGAGAGGGAAAAAGCCCCAGCUCCCUCCUUUGGCCUCUGCUGGCACCCUUUCACAGUCCCUGGACAUAGCUCAGUCUUCUUGCCUGCUCCUGACACUGGAGAGGGGCUGUGCUUCCCACUGCUGCCAGGUACAACCCCAGUCCCACUCCUGCUGCUGUCUUUCCCACUUGCAGCAGGACAGUGAUGCUCAGGCACCAACUGAGCUGGCUCUCUCCAGUGUUCCCACGAGUCCCACUGUGGUUUGGACCGUUUUGGACUUUCGUUUAUAAUUGGUAUCAUUCAGAGAGGAAAUUAUUUCAGAAUGGAGAAAAAAAUGACAUUUGAGACAAACUGAGCUCAUAAUAAAUCUUCCAAAAUGCCUGUAUAUCUUGCCAGCUCUUGCAAUAGUCCAGACUUAUUUCUGUUUGGAGGGAAAGGUUUUUCAAUUCCAAUUUAUAGAUGACUCAAGGUGCUAUUAGACAAACAGCAAUAAAGAACCAUUCAGAUUUCCUUCCUCCCCCCCCCCCCCCCCCCCCGUUGGUUUCACCAAGGUUCCCAAUACAAGAAGGCUACUCUGAUGCUCAGAAGUAUCUUUUUGCAUGGCUUAUUUCCUACGUCAUUUCUCUUCCCAAGGCGUGCUGAAGCUUCGGUGCCCGUCUUGCUUUGCCCCAUCACUGCACGGGUUUGCCACCUACCCUGCAUAAACAUUAAUGUUUCACUGUGGAGACACAUGGAGCUUUCAGAGGACUUUUGACAGGUGUUUCACCAGAAUCAUGAGUUUGUUCCCAAUUUAACAGAAAUGUUCAUGUGCUUAAAGCUGUGUCUGAGCUAAAGGACCUUGCUGAGCUGGCUACCUCACCCUCAGGCACCCUCAUGAUUCAUUUCCUACACAGUCCCGUGACUUCUGGUUUAUGGGCUCUCCCUCAAGUGAUACUCUGUUCUAAGCUGGGGAUCUGACAGUCACAAGCUCCCAUCUGGCUGCCCCUACCAUGGAUCCGCAUGUCCCUCUCUCUCGGCCACUGCACACAGCAGGACUCUGGUAUCCCUGCACUCAUCUGGCACCUCCCUUGGACCCCAGCCUCACCAGCGUUAAUUUCACAACACUGCAAACAACGAAAGUACUUGAUGAUGGCACUUAGAAAAGGAGGGAUUUGCAGUAGACAUGUUUCUAUGGAGUAUUAAAAAGUUUUUACUGCAAGAAGAGACCAGGAGAAUUGGUCUUAUGCAAGAACACCUUGAGGCUGCAAUCUGGACAGUUGAAUUGUUAACGCUAUUUCAUGGAGUUAAUGGCUUUUUCCUUAGUUUAAAGACAAAGGUCCUGUCUCCCUUCCUCCAAACCCCUCAAACCCAUAAGUUUAUGGUGCACUGUAUCACUUCUGUUCUUUUCUUUAUCACCAACAGAGUAGUCUAUCCCCAGACAUCAGCAUAUGAUGAUUCCUUAUGUUAUUAUUUACUGUACUCUAUGUGAAUUUCAACAAAGAAAAUGUAAGAAUACCAGGGGGAAAAAAAAAAAGGCUCUUGCUUUUUUUUCAGUGUGCCGUGAUUUCACAAAGCCAGUUUGAAGCCGAGCUGUCAGGCCGUCAUCCUGGAUCAAACUCAAUAAUCUUCCCAUCUCGAGAUUAGGCACUCAUACAGUCGCCCCUUUUUUUUCCCUUCUUCCAAGUAAACCCUGCUAUUUGCUUACAUCAUGCAUGCAUUUGUUUUCCUAAAUUGUGGCUCUGAUUUCCCAUAAGCAUAAAUGAUGCUGAGUGACCACCACAGCUCAUCACUGGUGUCAUUAAGGAUGACUCUGAACUCCACUAUGGCCCCUCAUUUCCAUUGCUGAGUGUUUUCUAUGCGUGCUUCAACAAACACGUGAUCCCAAAUCAGAUUUUUCUACAGAUAAGCAGCUGGACACUGUGCCAUUCUUACUGAUGGAAAGAAAUGUUUAGUUUGACAUAACUACCUCAACCGUUGACCACAAUGCCUGAUGAGAACCCUUCCAUUAUGUGACAUUCCUGGAGGCAUAUUCCCCCUUCAGCCAUGCAUGCAUUUUAAGAACUUCUGGGAGCUUUACCACCAGUCUGCAUACUGAUCUAUGACAAGUAAGUGUUGCUUGAACAGCUUUUGUCAGUGCUGAUUUACUCGCUUUGUUUGUUUGCUCGGUGUUUUAAUAAUAGCAUUAAAAAUCUUUGUUCCUGUUGUAUUUGACAUUGUGCCAUUGGUCCAUUAGGAUUUGGUUUAGUGUUGUGCAUUAUUUUUAAUUUGCAUUCACAGUAUGCUCGGUAAUAACUCACUCUGAAUUCUAUCAAAGGAUGCUGUGAAUUUGUAUUAACAGCAGUGCUGAUUUGUGCAAUGUGUGGUAAAAUUCUUUGCAAAAGAAUACUUACCACUUUAUGUCCUUUAGCACAGGAGAUCAAAACUUCCAAAUAACAACAGAGAUCUUUCUUAGCAAAUUGUUUAGGGGCUGAUGAUAAUGGGAAGAAUUUCAGCUUGGAUGGAAAUCAUUGACACAAACUGCUGUUGGUGCCAAAAGUUUACAUGUUCAUAAAGAAAUUAGACACAAUUAUUAAAGAAAAAAAAAUCCAUGAAAGGAGACGAAACUUGCAGAUAGCUGUGGUUCAAAAAGUCCCCAAACCACUGAUUGCUGUAAGCUGAAAAAGGAUCCUAGAGAUGGGUCACUGUACAGCUCUUCCCUAGGAGUCCGCCACUGGGCACUGUCUGAAGAACACGCUGUUCUAGUCUGUCCCAAGAUGGCCUUUCUCACAAUGUCAGGUUCAGAAGUCAUGCUGGGAGCACUUCGGAAGAAGAGGGAACAGAAAUAAAAAAAAAUCUCACUUCAGGUGAACAACUUGCAAAUUUUUGGGGAUUUCUGCAUUGAAAUCCUCCUUUGAAUCUAAUUAGAAUUCAAAUCCUCUUCCCUCCCAUCAGCUCCCUCCCAUCAGCGUCCUUUGGAAGAGCACACACACUGAACUGUACUACAGUCAUGGGCACUUCAAUGCCCGCAGUGACCUUAACUGGGUGAAGCCUUGCACGGUGGUUGGCAGUAGAGCACAAAUUUUCAGUAGUUAUUGGCCUCAAGUUUGCUUAUAUAAGAUGCAUUUUUGGCAAUGAAUGCUUAUCUGCCAUGGGGAAGGAUCAUGGUUGCUAAAGACAAGCUGGUUACUCAGUUAAACUAAACAAAGGAAUCUGGUGAAGCGCACACAAUACAUUACCCUGAGAAAUCAUAGCCAGCUUACAACAGCAAAAAUCAUUAGUUUUGUGCACAAGUCCUACUGUAAGCGUGACAUUGUAACAGAUGCUCUGCAUCUUGAAGACAUCUCUGCGUGCCCUGAAUUUUUUCACCUUGACCUUCUCUGAAAAGUAAAGAGGGCCUUAUUCAAUGGGUCAUUACUGGCACACCUGAUGAACAUCUCAAAACGGGGAUACACCUAACUGCUUUUCAACACCUAAUACUUCAGCUAGUUUUAUGCAGACCUCAAUGGACUGUCUGCUGACUGAAUAUUUAUUACAUUAUUAUUUUAAUAAGGCCAUAUUUGUCAGGAAUUGGACACAAAAUCCCAUCCUAAAAAUAUAGUGAAAAACAUUAAGCAAGACUGAAAACACAUAACAGCAAUGGCCACACACGGUAAUUCUUUGGCUUUGACUUUAUUUUUUUUUUUUUCAAAGGGUAUAGGAACACAGAGAUUUUUUUGCCAUUUUUCUUCUGUGAAAUGAUCUGGACAAAUUGAUGUCCUGGAGUUUGGCAGACAGCACCUCAGCUCUUGCUGUUUAUCAUUGUUUAAAUGACGUUGCCCAAAACUGUGGGUGGAAAUAAAUGAAUAAGUUGUGAAACAAAAUGAACCCAUGACUUUCUCUCAGUUUGAAACAUGUGUUUCAGCUACGUACUUCAAAGCCAAGAGGACGACUGAGCUACACUGACUCGGGGACUGUGCGCUGAGCCAGUCCGAUACCUGCUACCCCACAGGGCCACCAGCACACAGCUGCUUCCAGCUCCCUCCCACCUGCCCGCACAGCGCUGCUCACCUGUGGGAGAAUAAAUGCCUUAAGAAAUGAUGAGGUGUUUCCUGGUGUCCCCCAUCGCAGCAGGUGCUGCGCUGCUCCUCCGAUGGCCCACGGGCACGCUGCUCCUCCCUGUCCUACCCAAGCACUUCCCAGUCACAACACCAACUCCCUUACUGCUGCAUUUGUACAGCUGCAGCAGAGCUCUUAUUUUGAGGCUUUCCAGCCAUUGUUUGGGAACACAAGAAGAGGCUUGAGGGAACACUCGCAGAUCCAGAGAACAGGAAGGAUAAGGAUGAAUCUCCAACGGCAGCGCGUUAGCUGCCUCACGGCUGACAGUCUGCCGCGAGGUACAGCGUCUCUGCGACCCACUCUUAAUAAAGGGCGCCUAAUUAAUGGCAUCUUGUUGCCUUACGAGAUUUCUCAUAGCAAUGGCUGAAAACACCGAGCGCACAAUUAGGUAAAAAGAUGCAAAGUUACUACAGAAAUAUCUCUUUCACCACAACCACUGUCAAUGCGUUUUGUAACGAAAAGGAAAAAAAUAAACAAACAAAACCACGAAAGAAAGCAAAC